CGGGGCGUAGCGCAGUCUGGUAGCGCACCUGCUUCGGGAGCAGGGGGUCGGAGGUUCAAAUCCUCUCGCCCCGACCA
Molecule: transfer RNA, 77 nt
Filed under: Desulfuromonas sp.
Lineage: Bacteria; Pseudomonadati; Thermodesulfobacteriota; Desulfuromonadia; Desulfuromonadales; Desulfuromonadaceae
Also listed under: 9 other names
Description: tRNA-Pro
Rfam family: tRNA
About the family: Transfer RNA (tRNA) molecules are approximately 80 nucleotides in length. Their secondary structure includes four short double-helical elements and three loops (D, anti-codon, and T loops).
Source: RNAcentral